UACAGAGGGUGCAAGCGUUAAUCGGAAUGACUGGGCGUAAAGCGUGUGUAGGUGGUUAGAUAAGUUAGAUGUGAAAUCCCCGGGCUCAACCUGGGAACUGCGACCGAGACUGCAUUGCUAGAGUAUGGGAGAGGAAAGCGGAAUUUCUGGUGUAGCAGUGAAAUGCGUAGAUAUCAGAAGGAACAUCAGUGGCGAAGGCGGCUUUCUGGACCAAUACUGACGCUCAGGUGCGAAAGCGUGGGGAGCAAACAGG
Molecule: ribosomal RNA, 253 nt
Filed under: uncultured bacterium
Lineage: Bacteria
Description: partial 16S ribosomal RNA
Rfam family: Bacterial small subunit ribosomal RNA
Source: RNAcentral